CACGCGUUGAAUGGAUCUGGUGUCACCAGUGCUGGUGUUGUUUUUACUGGUGAACGUUGUUUGUGAGCAGUUAACGGGUGGGAGAUAUUCAUAUGUACCGUUGCAGAUUUUGAUAUUUGAUUCCAAUCAACUAAUAGAAUGAACCCAAACGAUCAUAUAGAUAUCACAAAAUGGUUUCUAACUUGUUCAGUUGCGGAGAAAUAGACGAUUUUCAACAGGGCACUAUCAUGAUGGUUUGGUCUCCUAGAUCAAGUUGGUAGAUAUGUGAGUAGAAGAAAAGAUGAUGAAAAUCCGGUGGCAUGUAUAACAUGCUUCGGAUAGAUUUGUUUUGAUUGAAGAUGCGUAGACGAUGGAGUUAGAACAAUUGUGGACACCUUACCUGGAGACAAGUUUGGUGAUGGUUGAAGAUGAUGGUGUAGAAGACAAUGCAGACACCUUAUUGACAGACUGUUUAGAUAAGUUAUGUUGUUCUUCUUUUGGAUAAAUCAUGAUUCAUACUUAGUGGCCUUGAUUCGAAUGUGCAAGAUUGCAAAUUCCUAUAAGAAGCUUACAAUAGCUGUUGUGCUGAUGGAUGUGAGCAGAUACUAGUAAAGUGAAUCACAAUUAAUAUGCUUUAACGUUAACUAAGGACUAUUAUGGCUUGAUUAAGUAACAAUACUUAAAGAUUUUACAAUAAUAGAAUAGUACAAAAUGUGUUUCAUAACAGGAAAUCUGAUUUAACCAAGGUACAUGUGUACAUAAAAUAACAGUGUGCAUAUUAUACAAGGGAGUCAUAGUUCAUUCAUAAAAUGUGUUUCAGAUAAGACAUGGUUUAAGCAUAGUAGCACUAGCUUAGAUUGGGGCUGAGAACAAAAGAAAAGGGACUAUUAAUGGACUCCUAAUGAAUACUUAGAGAUAAGAUUGGGAACUUGAUGAUGGAUCACAAUAUUAAUUAAACAUCUGUUGAUUCCGGUUCACUUUGGAUAUUUUGACUCAAGUUGAAGUGGAGUAGUUCCUCUGCCGAUGGCUUAUAUCCAGGAAUUUGGACUAUACUGUGUAUACGUUUUAUAGAACCAUCUGUUCCAUCAGGUUUUCUUUCGUGAAUAAAGAUUUUGCCAUCACGCGUCCAACAUCCAUUGAUUAAGUUUGAUUUGAAUGAUUUUCUAGUGUGUUUAAAGAUAUGAGCUCUGUACCGUGUUAAGUCCUCAUUUAUAUAGAUGUUGUCUUCUGCUGAGUUUACGACUUUCUUGCCACGCAUUAUGGAUACUUUAGUUUUAUAGCUAGAUAGUCUAACGAUAAUCUUUUUGGGGUUACCCAUGAUAGGUUUACCUACUCUGUGACUAUUUUCUAUGGCAGUCGGUGUUAUGGCUGGGAUGAUUUUUUUAAGGACUUCGAUUACUUUAUUUUCGACUAUUUCGUUGGGCGUUUCAGCUUUACCACUAAUACGGAUGCAGUUUCGCCUACCAUAUUGCUCUAGGUCAUCACAUCGUUCAUUUAACAUGCCAUUUAACUGCAGCGUAACAGACGAGAUUUCGUAUUUGAGGUCAUUUAUUUCCUUUCUUAAGGGAGUAAUAUAUUUAUCAAUCUCUUCUCUUAGAAUGGGUGUUAUCAAAGGUCGAAUGGCAUUCUGUACCUCUGGUUUCCCAAAUGCUCUAGAUAAUUCCUGGGUAACAGCAUUUAGAGUGUUGAUAAAUGCCUCAUCAGGGACAGGAGUGGAUGACAGAGGGAUAUAGUUUUCAGGCUUGUCAUUUAUUGGGGAUUCCGCGUCGCUCAUAGUGUUUUCUAAGUACUCGUAGCUGGAGUUGGGUUCAAUAUUUUCAGACAUGAAGGUGGUAAUUGUGCUCUGCUGGAGUUUACUUUUUUUUAAAUUACUACUUCUGACACCAGUAGCCAAGAAAAGGUCUGUUUGUAUUUGAAAUGGGGACGUUGAACCCUUUCUUUUCCUGUCUUCUUUAGCCCUGGCUGGAGUAUACAUUAAGUUUUGAGUGUAUAUUGGUAGUAAUGAUUUAAUAAUAAUAAUAAAUAAUAUGAUACCACUGAUAAGGAUGUUGAUUUUCUGUAGGGUCUGGCUGUUGAACGUUCGUGAGUCAAAGAAAUCACAAAGGUAACAAAGAUGGCUGCUCACAAAGCAAGUUUUCACAGUGGUUGGAGAUUUUAACUCAGAGGUCCUUUUAAUACAGCAUGAGUUAAUACUUUAUAUAUAGUGUUUACUCCAGGCACAUCAGGAUGUAUGGAUAUUAUCACAUACCUUAGUUAUUAUGUGUUAUUUAGUCGCUUUUCACUAAUUAUUGAAGCUCUCUAAGAGGAGUCUAACUACUGGCGGCCAUCUUGUUAAAAUUCUGAUGGAUAACACCUGUCAUUAUUUAUACAGGGGUUGGAUAUAUUACAGGGAUUUACUAAAGUUAAAUUUAAGAAAUGUGGAUCUCAGAUACGUUAAUAAUCAUUAUAUAAGACAGCGAGUGAUCAUAAUUCCAAUUGUUAAGUAUGGCAUAAUGAAAUAUGGAUAUUUCUUAACGAGGUAGACAUUGCCAGGGAUUUAAGUAAAAUAAUGAUUGCAACAAGUACUGGUGAGGAUAUAAGACCCAUUGAGAUUUAUAAAUACGCGCAUGAUAGAUUAACUCCUCUAAUUAAAUUUUCUGAAUCAUGAUCUUCUUGCGUUAAAAAAAGGGGUAGUCCAAGUUAGGUCCAGUAAAGUAACAGUGAAUGUGAAGCGGAACGCCGUGUCUUGUGUAAAAAUAUACUAGACUGUUGAAUACGGAGUUUAUCGUUUGUUUUAUACACAGAUACCUGAUCACAGGUGUUGUUUUGUACAUUAUGUUUUUGGGGAGUUCUUCCAACAAAUAAUAUGCAUCAGCUGUGUUUGGAAAUAAAAUCAGUAAGUUUUAUUUGGUCGUUAAUUUUAGAUCUAAAGGUUUUGGCAAUCAAUUUCUUGUGGACAUGUUGAUUUCAUUUCAUUCCCGGAAAUAAUAUUUUAUAUUUCGUUAUUAGUGUUUUCCUCCUUCAUCGUGAUUGGUUUCUGAAGAUAAACGUGGCUUAACGAUCGUCAUUGUCUUUGAGUCACGGUAUACCCAGGCCAUAUUGAAUGUAUGAACGUGUACACUACAAUAAUAGGAAACAAAUUCAGUUCAAUGCUAUAAGUAAUUUGGGUUGUUAGUGUUUCCUCCUUCAUCGUGAUUGGUUAUUCAAGAUAAACGUGGCUUAAGGACCGUUAUUGUCCAUGAUGCACGGUAUACCCUGGCUAUACAACAAUAG
Long non-coding RNA from Patella vulgata (common limpet), 3231 nucleotides. RefSeq lists it as uncharacterized. The transcript is spliced from 6 exons. NCBI's taxonomy places the organism in Eukaryota, Metazoa, Mollusca, Gastropoda, Patellidae. The record is from RefSeq and is a predicted model, not a curated record.